This 253-nucleotide ribosomal RNA is filed under the name uncultured bacterium. RNAcentral's name for it is "partial 16S ribosomal RNA". It matches the Rfam family "Bacterial small subunit ribosomal RNA", at positions 524 to 776 of the family's 1533-position model. The record is from RNAcentral.
GACUAACCGUACGAACGUUAUUCGGAAUCACUGGGCUUAAAGGGUGCGUAGGCUGCGCGGAAAGUUGGGUGUGAAAUCCCUCGGCUCAACCGAGGAACUGCGCCCAAAACUGCCGUGCUCGAGGGAGACAGAGGUGAGCGGAACUUAGGGUGGAGCGGUGAAAUGCGUUGAUAUCCUAAGGAACACCGGUGGCGAAAGCGGCUCACUGGGUCUCUUCUGACGCUGAGGCACGAAAGCUAGGGUAGCGAACGGG